AGUGAACGCUGGCGGUAGGCCUAACACAUGCAAGUCGAACGGCAGCACAGUAAGAGCUUGCUCUUACGGGUGGCGAGUGGCGGACGGGUGAGGAAUACAUCGGAAUCUACUUUUUCGUGGGGGAUAACGUAGGGAAACUUACGCUAAUACCUCAUACGACCUACGGGUGAAAGCAGGGGAUCUUCGUACCUUGCGCGAUUGAAUGAGCCGAUGUCGGAUUAGCUAGUUGGCGGGGUAAAGGCCCACCAAGGCGACGAUCCGUAGUUGGUCUGAGAGGAUGAACAGCCACACUGGAACUGAGACACGGUACAGACUCCUACGGGAGGCAGCAGUGGGGAAUAUUGGAAAAUGGGCGCAAGCCUGAUCCAGCCAUACCGCGUGGGUGAAGAAGGCCUUCGGGUUGUAAAGCCCUUUUGUUGGGAAAGAAAAGCAGCAGGUUAAUACCCCGCUGUUCUGACGGUACCCAAAGAAUAAGCACCGGCUAACUUCGUG
Molecule: ribosomal RNA, 492 nt
Filed under: uncultured bacterium
Lineage: Bacteria
Description: partial 16S ribosomal RNA
Rfam family: Bacterial small subunit ribosomal RNA
Source: RNAcentral